GGGUCAGUAGGUUGGUCGUGCCACCGGUACGUACUGGUCUCACUGAUUCCUCCUUCCUGAAGAACCGUAAUGCCAUUAAUUUGGUGUUGCGGGGAAACAGGACUGUUACUUUGAAAAAAUUAGAGUGUUUAAAGCAAGCUAGCGCUUGAGUACAUUAGCAUGGAAUAAUGAAAUAGGACGAUCGAUCCUAUUUUGUUGGUUUCUAGGAUUGACGUA
Molecule: ribosomal RNA, 216 nt
Filed under: Glomeromycotina sp.
Lineage: Eukaryota; Fungi; Glomeromycota
Description: partial small subunit ribosomal RNA
Rfam family: Eukaryotic small subunit ribosomal RNA (bases 40-216)
Source: RNAcentral